Molecule: ribosomal RNA, 500 nt
Filed under: Catochrysops panormus
Lineage: Eukaryota; Metazoa; Arthropoda; Insecta; Lepidoptera; Lycaenidae
Description: partial 16S ribosomal RNA
Source: RNAcentral
AAAACGCGCCUGUUUUUCAUAAACAUAUCCUGGUCGUCAAUCUAUUAUCAGAUGCUCCGGUCGUUCCCACAAUCAACACAAAUCUCAUUAGCGGUGACCGGUAAUGCAUAUCGCCUGUUUACCAAAAACAUGUCUUUUUGAGUUAAUUUAAAGUCCAAUCUGCCCAGUGAUUUAUUAAAGGGCCGCAGUAAUUUGACUGUACAAAGGUUGCUUAAUCCUUUCUCUUUUAAUUGAAGACUUGUAUGAAGGAUUUGAUGAAAAAAAAACUGUCUCCAAAUUAUAAUUAAAAUUUAAUUUUUUAUUAAAAAGGUAAAUAAAUUUAAAAGACGAGAAGACCCUAUAGAGUUUUAUAGUUUAUAAUUUAAAAUAUUUAUAUAAAAAAUUAAUAUAAAAUAUUAUAAAUUAUUUUGCUGGGGUGAUAAAAAAAUAAGAAAAACCCUUUUUUAAAUAAACAUAAAUAAUGAUAUAAACUCCAAAGAAAGGAGUGCAAUGGCUCAUGU